RNAcentral lists this ribosomal RNA (468 nucleotides) under uncultured bacterium. Its description in RNAcentral is "partial 16S ribosomal RNA". It matches the Rfam family "Bacterial small subunit ribosomal RNA", at positions 28 to 507 of the family's 1533-position model. The record is from RNAcentral.
GACGAACGCUGGCGGCGUGCUUAACACAUGCAAGUCGAACGGAAAGGCCCUGCUUUUGUGGGGUGCUCGAGUGGCGAACGGGUGAGUAACACGUGAGUAACCUGCCCUUGACUUUGGGAUAACUUCAGGAAACUGGGGCUAAUACCGGAUAGGAGCUCCUGCUGCGUGGUGGGGGUUGGAAAGUUUCGGCGGUUGGGGAUGGACUCGCGGCUUAUCAGCUUGUUGGUGGGGUAGUGGCUUACCAAGGCUUUGACGGGUAGCCGGCCUGAGAGGGUAACCGGCCACAUUGGGACUGAGAUACGGCCCAGACUCCUACGGGAGGCAGCAGUGGGGAAUAUUGCACAAUGGGCGGAAGCCUGAUGCAGCAACGCCGCGUGCGGGAUGACGGCCUUCGGGUUGUAAACCGCUUUCGCCUGUGACGAAGCGUGAGUGACGGUAAUGGGUAAAGAAGCACCGGCUAACUACGUG